CCAGGAUGGAGGGUCUCUCAGGGAGACGAAACCCAGCUGGAGAAAUCACGGCCUGGGAGCCCUUGGCCCCACUCGCAAGACAACCCGCCCGGCGCGAAGGAUGCGUCCCCCGAACCCCGCGCAGGGAAACUGGAAGGCAGGCAGCCUCUUGAGCUCCAACAGAGUGUAAUCUCAAAGAAGAAAAAAAAUCUUUAAAAUGAAAAGGGGGGAUAAAAAACUAAAUUUGAACAAAACUAAAUUACAAGCCCACAGGUCCCUGCGCCGCAAACGAGGUGGGGGAGGAGGGGGCGGAACGGCCGAGGCUCUGAGAGUGGGGGAUGCGGCGAGAAAUCCGUCCCCUGCAGAGUCGGUGCCUUCGGGGGCUCCACAGCCGCACGCUCCGACUUGCAAGGUUUGGACUCACACGGGAGGCCGAAGGUCUGCAAGACAGAACUGGAAAGAACUCCUCCCAUCACUCAUGGGAGAAAAUGAAGCUCUCUACUGGCCUCUAUCAGAGAAGCUAAAAAUUUCCCUCUUUUCUGCAAGUGUCCCAAACCCCAUGACUCUUAUUUCCAGGGAUCCUGUUUGGAAGGUCAGGGACAAUGACAACUGA
This 592-nucleotide long non-coding RNA is filed under the name Capra hircus (goat). RNAcentral's name for it is "lncRNA (ENSCHIG00000007864.1)". Lineage: Eukaryota; Metazoa; Chordata; Mammalia; Artiodactyla; Bovidae. The record is from RNAcentral.